UGUUUAGGGGGGUGAUUGUUGGAAUUAAUCACGAGUUCUAGUCCGGCUUGGACUUGGAACCGUCACCGUGUAGGUAUAGGAUUAGUAGUUGUCUUGGUUAGCUACUAUAUAUACGUACAAGUACCCCUGUAAUAUAGUAUUAGAUCGAUUAGAUCGCAAAGUAAUAAAAUCAUAGGUGCGACACGCACCUAUUGGCCAUCAAGUCGCCUCGUAUUCUCUCGUGUGUUGACUAGCCGACGACUCGUUCAAGCUAGCUAGCUGCCGUAGCUAGUAUCCAUCCACCUGCGUGAGUGCCUGCUUGGUUGUGUUGUACUUACGUGUGUUCGGCCAAAAGUAUCGGCCGGUUACAACACAUCAGGCAGCAAGUUCGUACGUGCAUCUCUCCGGAAAGUACUCGGAGGAUUGCAACGUCGAGGACAGGCCUGGGCCAACAUAAUCUACAUCGAUGGUAUCAUAUACUCCCUCCAUCCGGAAUUACUUGUCACAGAAAUGGGUGUAUCUAGACGUAUUUUAGAGCUAGAUACAUCCAUUUUUAUCCAUCUCUGCGACAAGUAAUUUGGGACGGAGGGAGUACCUUUUAUUGCUCUACUUUUGGACAUGAGAAGGUUCCGUUCUCUAUAGUCAUCAACGGCUAUGUACUCAUCAUUUAGUUAGUAUUAUCAAUCAAGCUGAUUUACUCCACAAAUUCAAGUGUAACUGGUAUUUCAUGUAUUUGUCAGUUAAUUAUUCAGAACCCAUGCCUGAUUUUACUAAAAGGGCACUCUACUUUGUAUUUAUAGCCUGUCCCUGUUUUUGUUUCGGUGAGCAAAGAGUUCAAUCAAUUACCAUAUGAUUUUGUGCCAGUUACUAGUUCAUCAUUCAGAACUCCUGUCUGUCUAUAUUCAAGAGUCAAGAACAGUACUGCUUAUUUUAGUGUGCCUUUGGUUAUAUUCAGUUAGCAAGAGUUAAACCUGUUACCAUAUUCAAGUCUUGUAUUCGUAAAGGCGACAUAUGUUAAUUCAAGAUAUACUUUUUAAUUAUGAUUACAUUAUGUCAGUAACCAAAAUCACCCUGUCUUGUUCUGUUCUUGUCCCUUUACUUUGACACAAUACCUUAUCAAUAUCAAAUGUCGAUUGCCCAAUAUAAUCACAUAUAUGACGUACCAGUAACCUUCCACACAAUGUAUGUUUCUUGCAAUUUGCGGAAUAUGCAAUCAUGUUGGAAGGACUAUAUGAUCUGAUACAAAUCCAUAAAUCCCAAAAUAUAGGUGAUAUACAUCAUCAGACAUCUACAGUUCAAGAAAAAUGACAUCUAUACAUAUAGGCAAUACUCAAUGUCGGUCUUGCCUGCACUGAAUCCGGAAUUUGCACCAGAAACAAUAGUGUCCAUCUUACCCGCAUUUGUAUGUAAGGCUGAUGAGAGUGGGGGUGACGUGAGGCUGCUGGAGCGAGGGCAAGGCCAGGGGCAGCGGGGGUAAAGGAGAUAUAUGGAUUAACUGCCAUUAAUAAUCUACAGGAUCUAACUUAAUUCUUGAGCUCUUGGUAAGAAUUAGUUGGAAGGUUCGGAUCAAUUGGAUUCCACAAACUCGUACACCCUCCGUUUCUUUUUAGUCUGCAUAUGAAAUUUGUCUGAAGUCAAACUUCGUAAAGUUGGAUCAACUUUAUAGGAAAAAUUACCAACAUUCACAAUACGAAUCAAUAUCAUUAGAUGCAUCAUGAAAUUAAUUUUCAUAAUAUAUUAAUUUAGUAUUGUAGGAAGGGGAGCCUUGGCGCAGCGGUAAAGUUCUUGCCUUGUGAUCAUGAGGUCACGGGUUCGAGUCCUGAAAACAACCUCUUGCAGAAAUGUACGGAAAGUCUGCAUACAGAAGAUCCAAAGUGGCCGGACCCUUCGCAGGCGGGAGCUGCGUGCACUGGGCUGCCCUGUAUAACUUUAGUAUUGUAGAUGUUGAUAUUUUUUGAUAUAAAUUUGGUAAACUUUGUGUAGUUUGACUUCAGACAAAUCUUAUAUGCGGAGUAAAAAGAUAUGGAGGGAGUACCUUUAUAUUAGUAUAGAUAUAUAAAUCAUGGGUAAUUGCUCCUUUAAAAAAAUGAAUAAGUUAAUUAGUAUUCUUCAGUUCAACAAGUUAAUCAGUACUCAUGUUACAGUAAAUUCUGUUUAUGUUUACUCAUAUGGUGCAAGCAUAAACAAAGAGCACAUAAGUUUCUUAGCAAAAUAGUCUCUCAUAAUUCCCAAGUGGUGACGUUUACCAAACCUGAUCUUACUUGACUGGUAUAACUUAGGAUUUGAUCAUCACCACUUCAGUAAAUUUUGCAGUUUGCCAUGUUUCAUCUUUUGGGCAACUAUUAAAAACUGGCAGUUCCAGAAGGACACAACCAUGAUGUUACAAGGACUGAGUAAUGCUGGUGCAUGAGUUCAAAUUUGAUUUUUCAAUAUUCUAAGUGCACACAAUUAUCAGUUGUCUGGAGUUCUGAGACCAAAUAAUGCAAAGCACUGACACGGCGAACUACUUUUUUGUGGUUGUGUCUGUAGAUAACCUCAAAAUCAAGCACAUUUCAGAACUUUUCAUGAUGUUUCCCGUCAGCAUGCCUGACGAUAGUACUCUGAUUGAAUGGAUAGGCUGGAUUAGACAUUCCAUUGACUAAUAGUUGAGACAAGGUCAAUCACCAAUAGUAGUUCUGGCCCCGGGCAACUUUUUUGGUAUUCAAUCAACUUCUGGUUUCUUGUGCAAACUGCCUUUUUGCCCAACUGAUGACAUGUUCUGGAAUUACUAGUAUUUUCUUAAUGAUUUAUUAGAGUAUAUCAGACAUAUAUGAAAUGUUACUUUUCCUCCUAUGUUUAGUUUCUAUCUGCAAGGUGUGGAAUCUUUGUGAACUUGGCACUCGGUUGGGAUUUAAGACAUACCUAAGAUUACAUACUUGAUGCACCUCUGCUGGUAAGCGCAUAUACCUUGCUGAAGGAAAGACUCCAUACAGAGAAUAUAAUAAUUGCAAGAACAGCAAUGUGCUAAUCCUAUUUAUUUAUCUUUGAUUGAAAAACCUUAUCAAGUGAAAUGUCAUGGAUUUGUUUUUGCACUGGGUGUUGGCAUACAUACUGCUUUGUGCUUCGAUACUGUUCAUGAUAAAUCCAAGCAUAAAAUUUGAAGUAUCUUUGGUAAGAUAAUUUUUUUGUGGGGAGGUAAGGUGAUUUGACAUACUAAUUUCUCUCUUGAUCAUGCUCCGUUCCAUAGGUGUGUGCUAUAGAUUGCAAGUGUGAUAUGCUAAUGCAGAUGGAAGUGUUUUUAGGUGGAACAUUUUAUAUGAUUUGGAUGAUCACUGAGCCACCAUCAAUUAAUCCAGAUGUGAUAUGCUAAUGCAGAUGGAAGUUCCACUUAGAGUAUGUCUGUUAACCAUGCAUGAUUUUUUUAUUAUACUAACACAUGCAAUUAAUCCAGACAAGUAGUAGAUUUUACAAAAACUGGAUCGGUAGCAAAUUUGCUAUGACCAGCGAUGCCCUUCGAUUUCCAAAUUUCGAUAUCUUUUGUUUUCCAGGUUACAUUUAUAUCUUGAAAACUUCAUGUGUUGCACUUGCUAUGGAGUGACAUCCACUAAUAGGUAGAGAUAUUCUUUCUACUUUGCUCAUGUACUUAUCGUGCUGUCUCCCAUCACUUUUCACAGUAAAAAGUAGUCCUUUCCCUCCAAAGAUUAAAUAAUGCUUAGAAUUCGAAUCUUUGUGACCAACCUGUACUGUACAUGUGUAAUUUCUUUCUGUCUUCUGCUGCUCUCCGUCCUUGAUCGGAUGUGUCUCUAAAUAGCGGAUUGCUCCCUGCAUCCAUUAGUGUUUGCAUAUGCUUAUAGUGAUACACUUGUAUGUUCUGUAGCUGUUAUUGACGUAUAUAUAUGCUGAUGUGAAUGAUUUAAGUUUUGCUUAAUUGUAGCCUAUCCCUUUUCCACUCACAUGGAUGUUUAGCGCCCCUUUGUUAAGACUGAUGUGUAUAACUUGACACAAUUAUAUAGUGAACUCUUACACUACUUGACCGUGACUCGGUCCCUCAAGCUUUUAACAGACAAUCAUAAGCUAAACAGUAUCAUAUUCAUGGUGGAAAGGGGAAAGUGAUUACAAUGAUAAUGAUUUAAUAAUAGCUCAAUCUACUCUAGUAUGAUGCAGCCUUUAUUUCAUAUGCAUCUUACAAAUAUUGACAUUAUUUCGCUCAUAUCGGUAUAUAUUACACGUCAUUCACCUUCACAACUUAUGAGGAGUUUCGGCAAGAUUCAUAUUAUCUAAACAUAUUCUUAUUUUUGUGGCCUCCUGCACACAUGCAUGGUAUUUUUUCCUGUGUAGAACUCAGUUCAUUUUCUGCAGCUAUACAGGUACCUUUCACAUGUCAGAUACCUUUAUUUGUUAAUCACCGGUCUUCCUGAGAGCCACCUUUCUCUACCCAUCAUCAAUUAAUACAGUAUUCAGCAUGAGUUCCACUGGUUAGUGGUUCAGUUCAUCAUUGCACGGCUUUAUCUUUGUGCUGUAACAACAGCUGUUUCAUGGACCGAUAUAAUUCUCAAAUGAUUGCUUCAAAAAGGGAUCAGACACAACUCGAAGGGAUGUGGCUGAUGCCACCAUUGAUAAUACCUAAUAUCACUAUCCAAGAAUGACUUAUCAACACCUGAGCCCUGUUCAUCUGAAAAGAAGUAUUAGAGCUGAUUUACGAUAUAUUGGUCUUGAGGUGUCAACUAUCCCUCCGGGGGAGCAUAAAUCUUUUCCAAGAAAGCGAAAGUCCACGCUGUCGAUUACCAGUAGGCUCGGCGCCUGAUCACAGCAGGGGUCCCCCACACAUCGCCAGAUCAGUGGAUGGGGCCGCCCACUGCCGAAAUCAGUGGGUGGAAAUUGGGCAGGUUGUUGGCUCUACUUUUGGUAUGGAAUGCAACCUUGGACGUCCCAGGCCCAGUUCUCUGUCAGCCGUUCAUGCUGCUGUCACCAGAAACAUCUACACAGCUUCCUUUUACUUGGGAUCAUUUUAACGAGGGAAUAGUGUGUAAGGUAGGCUGGUGAAUGAUGAUAGUGCGAACUGGCCGAACACCUACAGCUCCAAGAACUCACAAGGAAAACAGGAGUUGGCCAGGGAAAAUUUCACCACUUUCAGAAGCCCUAAAUUGGAAAAUUCUCAUGACAACAUAUCUAUAGCACAAACGGUGGAACCGGAACCUAGCCAAACAGGGCCCUUGCUUCAACUUCUACCGAUGGGCUGCAGGGCUCUGGCAGAAACAAGAGUGAAGAUUUAUAAUUGAGUAUCUCAUAUAUUGUUUUUCAACUCUCACUGCUCGUUCGAAUCAUGACAUCGGGUAGCUAAUUUUUACCAUUUUUGAGUAAUUGUUUGCCA
Hordeum vulgare subsp. vulgare (domesticated barley) is the source of this 5329-nucleotide long non-coding RNA. RefSeq lists it as uncharacterized. The transcript has 3 exons. Lineage: Eukaryota; Viridiplantae; Streptophyta; Magnoliopsida; Poales; Poaceae. The record is from RefSeq and is a predicted model, not a curated record.